CGCCCGUCACACCAUGAGAGUCUGUAACACCCAAAGCCGGUGGGAUGACCUUUAUAGGAGUCAGCCGUCUAAGGUAGGACAGAUGAUUAGGGUGAAGUCGUAACAAGGUAAC
This 112-nucleotide ribosomal RNA is filed under the name uncultured bacterium. RNAcentral's name for it is "partial 16S ribosomal RNA". It matches the Rfam family "Bacterial small subunit ribosomal RNA", at positions 1391 to 1500 of the family's 1533-position model. The record is from RNAcentral.